RNAcentral lists this ribosomal RNA (431 nucleotides) under uncultured bacterium. RNAcentral's name for it is "partial 16S ribosomal RNA". It matches the Rfam family "Bacterial small subunit ribosomal RNA", at positions 29 to 505 of the family's 1533-position model. The record is from RNAcentral.
AACGAACGCUGGCGGCAUGCCUAACACAUGCAAGUCGAACGAGACCUUCGGGUCUAGUGGCGCACGGGUGCGUAACGCGUGGGAACCUGCCCUUAGGUUCGGAAUAACUCCCCGAAAGGGGUGCUAAUACCGGAUAAUGUCUUCGGACCAAAGAUUUAUCGCCUUUGGAUGGGCCCGCGUUGGAUUAGCUAGUUGGUAGGGUAAAAGCCUACCAAGGCGACGAUCCAUAGCUGGUCUGAGAGGAUGAUCAGCCACACUGGGACUGAGACACGGCCCAGACUCCUCCGGGGGGCAGCAGUGGGAAAUAUUGGACAAGGGGGGAAAGCCUGAUCCAGAAAUGCCGGGGGGGGGAUGAAGGCCUUGGGGUUUAAAAGCUCUUUUCCCCGGGAUGAAAAUGACAGUACCGGGAGAAUAAGCGCCGGCUAACCCCG